UACGGAGGGGGCCAGCGUUGUUCGGAAUUACUGGGCGUAAAGCGUGCGCAGGCGGUGAUGUAAGACAGGUGUGAAAUUCCCGGGCUUAACCUGGGAACUGCAUUUGUGACUGCAUCGCUGGAGUGCGGCAGAGGGGGAUGGAAUUCCGCGUGUAGCAGUGAAAUGCGUAGAUAUGCGGAGGAACACCGAUGGCGAAGGCAAUCCCCUGGGCCUGCACUGACGCUCAUGCACGAAAGCGUGGGGAGCAAACAGG
This 253-nucleotide ribosomal RNA is filed under the name uncultured bacterium. RNAcentral's name for it is "partial 16S ribosomal RNA". It matches the Rfam family "Bacterial small subunit ribosomal RNA", at positions 524 to 776 of the family's 1533-position model. The record is from RNAcentral.